RNAcentral lists this ribosomal RNA (118 nucleotides) under Pinus environmental sample. Its description in RNAcentral is "partial 18S ribosomal RNA". Lineage: Eukaryota; Viridiplantae; Streptophyta; Pinopsida; Pinales; Pinaceae. The record is from RNAcentral.
UUGGAUCUUGGGUCGUAAGGGUUGGUCCGCCUACUCGGUGUGCACCUGCCCUUCCGUCCCUUUUGUCGGCGGCGUGCUCCUGGCCUUAAUUGGCUGGGUCGCGGUUCUGGCGCUGUUA